UAGUCCACGCCGUAAACGAUGAGAACUAGAUGUCGGGAGGGUAGGCCGUUCGGUGUCGCAGCUAACGCAUUAAGUUCUCCGCCUGGGGAGUACGCCGGCAACGGUAAAACUCAAAGGAAUUGACGGGACCCGCACAAGCGGUGGAGCAUGUGGUUUAAUUCGAUGCAACGCGAAGAACCUUACCUGCCCUUGACAUACAGAGAACUUUCCAGAGAUGGAUUGGUGCCUUCGGGAACUCUGAUACAGGUGCUGCAUGGCUGUCGUCAACUCGUGUCGUGAGAUGUUGGGUUAAGUCCCGCAACGAGCGCAACCCUUGUCCUUAGUUGCCAUCAGGUAAUGCUGGGAACUCUAAGGAGACCGCCGGUGACAAACCGGAGGAAGGUGGGGACGACGUCAAGUCAUCAUGGCCCUUAUGGGGCAGGGGCUACACACGUGCUACAAUGGUAGUGACAAUGGGGUUAAUCCCAAAAAGCUAAUCUCAGUUCGGGAUUGGGGGUC
RNAcentral lists this ribosomal RNA (498 nucleotides) under uncultured bacterium. RNAcentral describes it as "bacterial SSU rRNA". It matches the Rfam family "Bacterial small subunit ribosomal RNA", at positions 791 to 1306 of the family's 1533-position model. The record is from RNAcentral.